Molecule: ribosomal RNA, 253 nt
Filed under: uncultured bacterium
Lineage: Bacteria
Description: partial 16S ribosomal RNA
Rfam family: Bacterial small subunit ribosomal RNA
Source: RNAcentral
UACAGAGGGGGCAAGCGUUGUUCGGAAUUACUGGGCGUAAAGGGCGCGUAGGCGGCCUGCUAAGUCGAACGUGAAAUCCCCGGGCUCAACCCGGGAACUGCGUCCGAUACUGGGAGGCUUGAAUCCGGGAGAGGGAUGUGGAAUUCCAGGUGUAGCGGUGAAAUGCGUAGAUAUCUGGAGGAACACCGGUGGCGAAGGCGGCAUCCUGGACCGGUAUUGACGCUGAGGCGCGAAAGCUAGGGGAGCAAACGGG